Molecule: long non-coding RNA, 265 nt
Filed under: Elaeis guineensis (African oil palm)
Lineage: Eukaryota; Viridiplantae; Streptophyta; Magnoliopsida; Arecales; Arecaceae
Description: long non-coding RNA (EGUI_LNC082713)
Source: RNAcentral
UCAGUAAUCUAAUUACUAAUUAAUCUUCUAUUAAUUUACUAAUACUUGAUGAAUUAAUUUAUUACAACUUUUGCAUAAGGUUAACCAUCAAUCAAAUUGAUGAUUAAGUCCUUGAACGAUUCUCAAUCGUUGAUCAGCCACAUGAUCAGUAAGAAACUUCUUUUAAGUGUGACCCCAUAGGUUUGAACCUAAAUCAAUAGCACAGAAAUAUCUUUUUAAAUCAAUCGAUGUAACCAUCUAGCAAUGAUGACCCCACAUCCGGAUA